UUUAUUGGAGAGUUUGAUCCUGGCUCAGGAUGAACGCUGGCGGCGUGCCUAAUACAUGCAAGUCGAGCGAAUGGAUUGAGAGCUUGCUCUUAUGAAGUUAGCGGCGGACGGGUGAGUAACACGUGGGUAACCUGCCCAUAAGACUGGGAUAACUCCGGGAAACCGGGGCUAAUACCGGAUAACAUUUUGAACCGCAUGGUUCGAA
This 205-nucleotide ribosomal RNA is filed under the name Bacillus cereus. RNAcentral describes it as "partial 16S ribosomal RNA". It matches the Rfam family "Bacterial small subunit ribosomal RNA", at positions 1 to 199 of the family's 1533-position model. Lineage: Bacteria; Bacillati; Bacillota; Bacilli; Caryophanales; Bacillaceae. The record is from RNAcentral.